CCUACGGGGGGCUGCAGUGAGGAAUAUUGGUCAAUGGUCGGAAGACUGAACCAGCCAUGCCGCGUGCAGGAAGAAUGCCUUAUGGGUUGUAAACUGCUUUUAUAUGGGAAGAAUAAGGAGUACGCGUACUUUGAUGACGGUACCAUAUGAAUAAGCAUCGGCUAACUCCGUGCCAGCAGCCGCGGUAAUAUGGAGGAUGCGAGCGUUAUUCGGAAUCAUUGGGUUUAAAGAGUCUGUAGGCGGGCUAUUAAGUCAGGGGUGAAAGGUUUCAGCUUAACUGAGAAAUUGCCUUUGAUACUGGUAGUCUUGAAUAUCUGUGAAGUUCUUGGAAUGUGUAGUGUAGCGGUGAAAUGCUUAGAUAUUACACAGAACACCGAUUGCGGAGGCAGGGGACUAACAGAUGAUUGACGCUGAGAGACGAAAGCGUGGGGAGCGAACAGGAUUAGAUACCCCAGUAGUC
RNAcentral lists this ribosomal RNA (460 nucleotides) under uncultured bacterium. Its description in RNAcentral is "bacterial SSU rRNA". It matches the Rfam family "Bacterial small subunit ribosomal RNA", at positions 338 to 795 of the family's 1533-position model. The record is from RNAcentral.